Paramuricea clavata is the source of this 534-nucleotide non-coding RNA. The record is from the annotation of a GenBank genome assembly. Lineage: Eukaryota; Metazoa; Cnidaria; Anthozoa; Malacalcyonacea; Plexauridae.
UAAGACCAGUAAACAAUAAGACGUCACCUUAAACUACCCUGUUAUUCAUGAACCACUGACCCCAAUUACACCAAACUCUGCAAAUAUUUAAGGCAUACAUAGAAAAUGGUGUGUCCAGUUAAACUAAUAGAUGCUUUAUAGUAUUUAGGCUUUGGCGCCUGUUUAAACAAGCAGCCUUACAGUAUAAAUACUAUCAAUUUGGGGGUUUUGUCUGAAAAACAACACAAAGCCCCCUUAACUUAGCAAUGCAUGGUGGUACACAUGUUAAACUCUACCAGCAGAGAGAGCGAAUAUAUGCAAGUCGUAUGCUGUAUGUUGCACUGCGGUAGCUUAAAUUAAACUAAAAUUACAUUCUGAAAACCGAUUAAAAUCCCAUAAAAAUGUUUAAGACCCGUGAACAAUAAGACGUCACCCUGAACCGCCCUGUAAUUCAUGAGCCACUGACGCCAAUUACACCAAACUCUGGAAACUUUGAAGGCAUACAUAGCAAAUGGUGUGUCAAGUUAAAUUAAUACACUUUUUACAGAAUUUAGG